Molecule: ribosomal RNA, 199 nt
Filed under: uncultured bacterium
Lineage: Bacteria
Description: partial 16S ribosomal RNA
Rfam family: Bacterial small subunit ribosomal RNA
Source: RNAcentral
ACGCUCGACACCUACGGGGGGCAGCAGUGGGGAAUAUUGCACAAUGGGGGGAAACCCUGAUGCAGCGACGCCGCGUGGAGGAAGAAGGUCUUCGGAUUGUAAACUCCUGUUGUUGGGGAAAAAGAGGAUGGUACCCAACAAGGAAGUGACGGCUAACUACGUGCCGCAGCCGCGGUAAUCUGAGCGGGCGUGGCAAGGC